RNAcentral lists this ribosomal RNA (470 nucleotides) under uncultured Bacteroidota bacterium. RNAcentral describes it as "bacterial SSU rRNA". It matches the Rfam family "Bacterial small subunit ribosomal RNA", at positions 40 to 501 of the family's 1533-position model. The record is from RNAcentral. Lineage: Bacteria; Pseudomonadati; Bacteroidota.
CGGCAGGCCUAACACAUGCAAGUCGAGGGGUAACAGGGAAAAGCUUGCUUUUCCGCUGACGACCGGCGCACGGGUGCGUAACGCGUAUGCAACCUACCUUUUACAGGAGUAUAGCCCAGAGAAAUUUGGAUUAAUCCUCCAUAAUAUCUUAAUCAUGCAUAUGAUAAAGAUUAAAGCUUCGGUGGUAAAAGAUGGGCAUGCGUUUUAUUAGCUAGUAGGUGAGGUAACGGCUCACCUAGGCCACGAUAAAUAGGGGCCCUGAGAGGGGGAUCCCCCACACUGGUACUGAGACACGGACCAGACUCCUACGGGAGGCAGCAGUGAGGAAUAUUGGACAAUGGACGAAAGUCUGAUCCAGCCAUGCCGCGUGCAGGAUGACGGCCCUAUGGGUUGUAAACUGCUUUUAUACAGGAAGAAACACUCCCACGUGUGGGGGCUUGACGGUACUGUACGAAUAAGGAUCGGCUAAC